RNAcentral lists this ribosomal RNA (439 nucleotides) under uncultured bacterium. Its description in RNAcentral is "bacterial SSU rRNA". It matches the Rfam family "Bacterial small subunit ribosomal RNA", at positions 28 to 447 of the family's 1533-position model. The record is from RNAcentral.
GAUGAACGCUGGCGGCGUGCUUAACACAUGCAAGUCGAACGAAGCACUUUAUUUGAUUUCCUUCGGGACUGAUUAUUUUGUGACUGAGUGGCGGACGGGUGAGUAACGCGUGGGUAACCUGCCUUGUACAGGGGGAUAACAGUUGGAAACGGCUGCUAAUACCGCAUAAGCGCACGGCAUCGCAUGAUGCAGUGUGAAAAACUCCGGUGGUAUAAGAUGGACCCGCGUUGGAUUAGCUAGUUGGUGAGGUAACGGCCCACCAAGGCGACGAUCCAUAGCCGACCUGAGAGGGUGACCGGCCACAUUGGGACUGAGACACGGCCCAAACUCCUACGGGAGGCAGCAGUGGGGAAUAUUGCACAAUGGGCGAAAGCCUGAUGCAGCGACGCCGCGUGAGCGAAGAAGUAUUUCGGUAUGUAAAGCUCUAUCAGCAGGGAAG